GACGAACGCUGGCGGCGUGCUUAACACAUGCAAGUCGAACGGUAAGGCCCUUCGGGGUACACGAGUGGCGAACGGGUGAGUAACACGUGGGUGAUCUGCCCUGCACUUCGGGAUAAGCCUGGGAGACUGGGUCUAAUACCGGAUAGGACCACUGCCUGCAUGGGUGGUGGUGGAAAGCUUUUGCGGUGUGGGAUGGGCCCGCGGCCUAUCAGCUUGUUGGUGGGGUGAUGGCCUACCAAGGCGACGACGGGUAGCCGGCCUGAGAGGGUGACCGGCCACACUGGGACUGAGAGACGGCCCAGACUCCUACGGGAGGCAGCAGUGGGGAAUAUUGCACAAGGGGCGCAAGCCUGAUGCAGCGACGCCGCGUGAGGGAUGACGGCCUUCGGGUUGUAAACCUCUUUCAGCACCGACGAAGCGCAAGUGACGGUAGGUGCAGAAGAAGGACCGGCCAACUACGUGCCAGCCGCCGCCGUAA
Molecule: ribosomal RNA, 478 nt
Filed under: uncultured bacterium
Lineage: Bacteria
Description: partial 16S ribosomal RNA
Rfam family: Bacterial small subunit ribosomal RNA
Source: RNAcentral